GGUGUUGUAAGAACGGCUGCACAACACUUUCCGGUCCUCAUUGUCACUGUUCAUAAAUGUGCACGUUACGAUCAUCCAUCCACAAAACGAUCGUAGCUGUCUUCGUCACAACACACCAGGUUUUUCGUCGCCACUGCCGUUGUAAGGAGGCGCCGUGAAGUUUGGUCUGGUGUUCACCCUGUGUGUGCUGGUGGCGCUGGCGUGCCUAUAAGACGCCCAGCUGCCCACAGGCGAGCAGCUACAAUCGGGUGUGGAAGCACGACAUGGAGCCGCCGAGCGCAUCGAGGCAGACGGGCAGCAACUGCCUGCCACGAUGCGUUACUUUCGCCGCCUCAUCCCGACGCAGCAGCAUAGCACCU
Molecule: long non-coding RNA, 359 nt
Organism: Schistocerca piceifrons (Central American locust)
Lineage: Eukaryota; Metazoa; Arthropoda; Insecta; Orthoptera; Acrididae
Exons: 3
Source: RefSeq, a predicted model, not a curated record